CUCACUCCCCAGGCCCACACACUAGCCCACUGUUCAGGGUCCGGGGUGGCAGCAUGGCCUGGGGGUCCUGGCACCGCUGCUCCUCUGCCCACCCUAACUUCCCGGCAUGGCGGCUGCCCCCUCUGAGCGUCCCCAACCCAGAACUGCAGGGGAUAUGAAGCAAGCUGGACUUGGGGAGACAUCUCUGCUCGAGUGCACGUUGGCCUGAUGACGACUGCUCUUGGGUUCACGGGUUCCAGGCUCUGCCCGGGAGCCUCAUGCAAACUGGUCCCGUUCUACAGACGAGGAAACUGAGGCACAGAGUGAUUACGGCUGUCCCUGAGCUCCUGCAGCCAGUAAGGUGAUACACCAGGAUGUGUUCCCAGGUUGUCCGCUGGGCUCAGUAACACAGUCUCAACUGCCCUGUGACACUGCGUGUCUGUGCUUGUGGGGAAGGUGACCAGAGGCCCCCUUUCCUCCACGCGGUGAGCCUACCAGCAAGGAGACAGUCCUCAGGUGUGAGGAUGAGCCUCGUAGUAGGCACAGAGAAACAGGAGGAACCUUCUGGAAGGUGAAGCCUCCCACGGCUGGGACUCUUGGAGAAGGGCGGAUCUCUGUCCACUCCUGCCCACUCCCCAGCACAGACAGAGCAAGCAGGACAGAGGGCCCAACGUCCCAGGAUACUGCAGAGCUCAAAGGAGGGCAGAGAGCAUCGCCCCACAUGGGCGCCGGGAGAAAGGUGGGCGGGGUGCUCAGGGGCCCCUGGCCGUCCUGAAGUUUGCCUCAGAGAGGUGUGGGCUUCUCCUCCCUCCCAUACACAGUGUCUCUGAGGAUGAACUGCCAUGUGCCCGGCGGGGAUGCCGUCCCUGGCCCUUGCUGAGUGCCUCUGGGACGAGGUCAGCUGAGCCUGCCAUCCUAACUCAGACACCAUCUCACUCUCCAAGUCCCUUCUCGGUGAGACGGGGGGCCUUGCACCCACCUCCCAGCCCCCACACACCUGAGGGGGUCCCCGUUCCCCUACCCCGUGGCUCCACCACGCCCCACGCAUCCUACCUGAGGGACAGAGGGGACUGUGAGAUGCCCCCCACAGGCUGGUUUUCCUCUUUCACCCAUAACAGGCCCAGCAAAUUCUCACCUCCAGAGGCCAGGUCUGCCCCGCAGGUCUUAGGAAAUACAGCCCUACUUCCAUCCAGCACACCAACCCAAGGAAGUGCCUCGGAGCCCUGGGGCCCGAGGGGGGCCUGGCCUUGGUCUCACGGCGGCAGCUCCACCUGGAGAGGAGUGAACUCAAGCCAGGACGCCCCGUCUCCACAGCGGAAACCGUGUUGCCGGCUGCUCCCUCCUGGGGACUCUGGGCCUGAGGUUCCUGUGGGAGUUGGGGGGAUAGCUGAGUCCUAUGGAGGUGCCCCUCUCCUCCCCGCCCAGUGGAGCUUGGGGUGGGGACAGGCGAAGACAGGGUGAGAAGCACGGGGCAUUCCCCCUCCACACAGCGCUGAGAAAGUAAGGGAGCAUCCAGAAAACGGUGCCCACUUCCGCGUCAGGCGGAUAUCACGGGCACCAGCUCCAGGUGACCCUAGCCCAGCCAGAGAACAAGGACCAGGUUGUGCCGCAAAGCCCGUGUCCGCUCCCUCCCGCCUGGGACCACUGUGGCGAGGGGAAGGGAGCGUGGUGGCCCUCUCCUGACUCCUGAGGCCUGAAGUCCAAGCUCCCGGCCCUCAGGCAGGCCAGGGUCUAGACACCGCUGCCCCAAACACACCCCCCAGUCCCCGCCCGCAGGCUUCCUGCAGGAUCCCCCAGUGCACCUGGGGGCUGAGGAGAGUGAGCAGGGCGCAAAGAAGCUUCGUCGGGAGGGCGGUCCCCACCCGCCUUGGACCCCCGGGGAUAGUGUCCUGGGGCCUGGGCUCAGAUGCACCCUGGGAGGAAUGGUGCGGAGGCUGUUUUUUGCUCCAAGAGGACAUUGCCUCAGCAGAGGGCUGCCGAGCUGGGAGGACCCACAGUGCAAGGCCGCAGAACCCCCUAGGAAGCCUCAGAGCCUUCAGGUUCCGGGCUGAGGCUGUGGGCGUGGACCCUUGUGCAAACCCCACUGGAAGAAAAACCUUACAGCUCAGGAGGAGGAGGGGCCCCACCCGCUCCCAGAGCCCGUAAACGAGGGGUGGUGCCCACAUGAGGCCUGGGGAAGGGCUGGGGCUGGGACACCCCCUCACCACCCCCAGAUACCCCAGGCAGCCCCUCCCUCCACAGAGAGACCCACUGGGCCUGACCCUGCCCUGGGCACAGGGUCGAGCCAGGGACGGCCCGUGGGAGAAAGACGGCUUCAUGGGCCGCUGGCCGGGCCAGGUGCGUCCUUCCCCAGUUCUAGGUGGCAAAUGGGGUGGGGCCAGAGCCUUCUGGCUAGGGAAGACACUGGCCUGGUUGGUGUGGCAGGGGCAGCGAAGGAGGGUCAAAGGCCACUCUGGCCUGGAAGAGUCCCCAGCCACCUGGACGGGGGUAGCCAGGCCUGGUCCCUGCCCCCACUCUCCAAGGGGUCGGGGCAGCCGGGCAGAGCCAGUAAGUGUUUGUUUUCAGAUGACAUUUGUAAAGAAAAACAGCCUCCCACACUGCUUGACCCUGUGUCUGGAAUGUGGGGAGGCAAACAGCUGUGCCCUUCCCAGACCCUGCACAGCCCCUGGUGGGGGCAGGGCCCUGGUGGGAGCAGGGCCCAGAGGUACAGCCUGGGGAGGCACCGGCCAUUGUGGUUGGAGCGCGGCAGCCAGGCUCUGGGCUCUGUUCCGGGCCUCACUGUGUCCCCAGUGGGGUGCCGCCACCACCCCCCCAGCCUGGGCCCCGCCGGUCAGACACCCGCAGGGACAGCUUGUCUUGGCUAGCUGGCUACAGCACCUCGCUGGAGUCCAGCAGACACGCGCUCCCGUGCGCACGCUGCGCCCCAGGCCAGCCCUAACGCCGCUGCUCGGGUCAGGCCCCCCGCCUGCCGUGGGCUGCUGGCUGCCUUGGCCCGCCCCAGCUCUCUCCGCGCCCCUGCCUCCAGGGAGCCCUCCUCGAGGACUCCAGCCACCCAAGCUCAGCAGGGCCAGCCCGAGCCCCUGCCCCACACAGCCUGUGUGGAGGGUCCUCAGCCCCCUGAUCCCCCAGACCCUCCCGGCAGAGGCUGGGUCCCUGGGGCUUGGGGAAAGCCGGCUCCAUGGCCCCUGGCCUGGAUGAUUUCCCAGAGGCCGGUCCCCUGCCAAGUGCCUGGUGACCCUUGUUCCUACCUGGCUGCCCAUGGUCCUUUGUGCGACCCCCGCCCACAGCCCAGGAGCUGGGCAGGAGACUCUGAUUGGGUGGCAGCAGAGCCAUCCUAGGGCUGCCCCUGACCCUGGCCCUGACCCUGCCCUGGAGCCUCGUUUCCAAAUCUUGCCUCAUGCUUUCGCCAGACCCCUGUGGCCCCUUCCCGACCCUGGAGUGCCCCUGGGGCUUCCUGGAAAGGGCCUCUCCUUUGCUCACAGUUGGGUGCCGAACUUCACCAGCAUUGACCACCCGAAGGCGCAGGGACACCCCCGCAGUCCCUCUCCUGGGGGUCCCAUCACCAACUCCCCAUGGGCGGGAUAUCAGAAGAAUUCUCUGCGCAGGUGCUCCGCCCCUUCAGGCACAGGGGAGGGCGGCUCAGGGGCCAACGGCAGACGUUGGUGCCUGCCCCUGCAGCGGGGUGCCCCAUGCUGAGACAGCACACACGGGGGACACUCCGGGCCUCGGUCCACCCUCCAUGUGGCAAAUGAGGUGCUUGGCGGGGCUUCUUAACUCUUCACCCUGGGCUCCCCACGGGUCCCUUCCCUUCCCCUUGGGGGCCCCGGCCCCAGGUCCCCAAGGCCUAGACCUGCCUCUGCCACCCUCAGAGCAAGGAUGCGCUGCAGAGGGAGAGGGGCUGCAGCUCGGCCCCAGAGCUCCGGCUUCCUGUCUCCCAGACCACAAAUCACUAAAGGCCGUGGGUCCUGGGACAUUGAAGGCCCAGGAAGCUCCUUGUGUUGAGUUAAACAUAGUGGAGCAGAGGCAUGGAGCUGGCAUUUCCCACGCUUACGACCACUCUGCUACGGGCUGGGGUGGGGCUGGGAAUCAGCUUCCCCUGCGCCCCGCCAUCCCUUGUCCAGAGGGACCCGUGGGAAGGCCAGGUUGAAGAGUUAAGAAGCCCCGCCGAGCACCUCAUUUGCCACACGGAGGGCGGACCGAGGCCCGGAGUGUCCCUCUUGCGCACUGUCUCAGCAUGGGGCACCCCGCUGCAGGGGCAGGCACCAACGUCUGCUGCUGGCCCCUGAGCCACCCUCCCCUGUGCCUGAAGGCCCAGCACUUCCAGGGCUGCCCGAGCUGAGGACCUGUGCAGAGAACUCUUCUACACCCCACAGAGGAGGCUGAGGGGUCGAGGCGGCUGCGGGAGCCCCAGGGGGCCACCACACAGCCAUGCCUGCCCCUCUCCUCGGUGGGUGUAGAAAGCUCUUAAAUGGUGGAAAAACAAGGGCAUGGCCACAUUGCACAGGCACAGAAGGUUCCAGAAGGAGUGAAACAAUGGCAUGGAGGGAGCAGAGCCUGGGCCGGUGGGGGCACAGGGAUGAGGCCAGUGAAGGCCACGGGUUGGGGGGUGCCCUGAAGCCAACGACCCCAUCCUUAUCGCCUGUGUCUCUCUGCACACAGCGUCUCGUCUGCAAAGUUAGCUGAGCAAACGCCAGGAGCCAAGGGUCGAGGCAACGAUAUCCGUGGGGCCACUCCACACCCCCUCUGCCUGCCCCAUCAAGACCUGCUUUCCUGGUUGAAAUCCAACUCACGAUUUGCCCCCGGGGGCCCAGCAGCCCUACCCAAUGGAGCAGCUGCACCCACAUUGCCCAGCUUCCCAGGCGGACAGGGGCUUGGUGAGCCUUCCUGUCCCCACUGGAGCAUGGCCGGAGUGAUUUUCUGCUUCUGCUGCAGAUCACCCUGGUGGGAGCAGCUGUAAUCGCAUUAUCCCCAGUUAUGCCUCCACUGGGCACUGGGGUAGGGACAGGACUGCCAGGACACGAUUCCAUUUACCUAACGCCAGUGGAGCCCUGGGGGCUCUCCUAGGUCCACGGGGAGGGGUGGCCAUCUCUCUAGGCCCAGGGACCCCAGGACAGGGGUAGAAAACCACGGGAGAGUUAAGGAGUUAAGGCCAGAAGGGGCCAGUCCGGCCAAGUGGGGCAAAGCUGUCCACCGUUGGGCAGGGCAUGACUGAGGGGCGGUGUGGGGAACAGCUGCUCAUCUCCCCCAGGCCCAUGCCCGUGAUGAACUGUGUGACUACCCCCAGGAUCAGUCAGGAAGCUUGGCCCAGGAGCCUGUGCAGACCUAACAGCCAGCUCCAGCCCCGAGGCAGGGCAGCUGUGCUCCAGAGGGCUCCCGGGGCCGCACUGUCCCUCCCAGGUGGACACCCUCGUGGCACGUACGCCCCUGCUCUCAGCCCUCUCCUUCACUGGAUGGAGAGACUCGGGACCCGCAGAGGUGGGUGGCGGGCAGAGGAGGUGGAGCUGGUCUGAGACGCAAGACGUGGCCUGUGGAUUCUAGGAGCAACUGGUGGCUUCCAAGGUCCCCCACCCACUCCACACAUGUUCCCAAACCCCGUUUUGCAGAUGAGGAUGGCAGGCUCAGCACAGGGGCCCAUGUCUCUGUCACCAGGCAAGGUGGGGGGGCUCUAGGGCCAGAAUCGCUCCCACCUCCAGCCGGGGAUCAGAGGUCUCUGGUUAGCAGCCGAGGCGAGCGGGACACAGGCUGAGGGAUGGGGACAGCUGCUCGCCCGGCACAGACAAGGCUCCCCUCCCCAUGCUGGAGACCCCGGCUGCCCCAUCAGUCACGGCCCACCCAGGACCAUGCAAUCAUCCUCCACUUCUCCUAAUCCUCCUGCCAGCUUCUUCCCAAGAGUCCAAGCAGUUGGAUGCAUUUUCUAAAUUCUCAGGCCACUGCUGUUUCCUCCUCAAAUUCCUUGUCCCCCACCCGUGGCCCCCUCCCAGCCAUGGGAAAGGACUGCUGCGGCCUCCCCACAGGCCUGUGCACGGGUGGGGCUGCGUCCAGGCAGCUGUGAGGUACCGGGGACCCAGGGGUAAGAGCCCCGAUUACAGGGGCGUCAUGGGAAAGUGGCGAGGGGAGGCCACCCAGGGCCCCCACCACAGCCCCGCUCCACAUCCUCCCCUGAUCUCUGGCCCUGGAAAGAAUCAGAUGGGACCCCCAGCAGCAGUCACUUGAGUCCCACUGCCACCGGCUGUGCUGAGGAUGCCCACUGGGCCGUGCUGUGGCCACCUGGCUUGCAGUGUGGGCACCAAGGUAUCGGCCCAGAUUCCUACCCAUCAGAGCACCAGCACAGGGCCGAGCCAGUGCCACAGAGCCCCUGGGCUGCAGCACGUCCUGCACGUCCCACAGACCGGCCUGCCGGGAGGGAGGGGUGCUGCCCAGGGCUCGGUGCCCUCCCGGAAGGGGCUUCAGUGGGGCUGUUUGCCAGGUGGUGGCUCUGACGCAGGAGAGGACAGAUGGGCAGAGCCCGAGGGCAGCCCUGGCCAGGUGCGUACAGUGGUGGCUGUGACGCCCUCUCCCACGCCUGUCUCUGGGUCCAGGAGGAGUGAUGAUCUCCAGGCUCCAGAGGACUAGGAACAGCAGGCAGGCUCGCUGCUGAUAACGGGGACUUCUCCACCUGGUGGGGAGUGAUGAGGCAAGACCGGAUGGCAGGCCCCAGGCCUCUCCUCUCCAGGGACAGCCAUCAUCUCCUCGCCUGUGCAGGUCUCAAUCAGUCAGUGAUUACGCAACCAGCAACCAGCACUUUAUUGCCGGUUGUGAAGAUCUGGAGGACAUGCGGGUCCCCGGGGCCACAGCCUUCCCGCAUGGGUGAGCAGUAAGCUGUGCAAUUAGCCCUCAGGCCGUCAUCGCCAGGCCCUGCCUUUGUUCCUCCACCUGCCGCCCGCCGGAAGCCUCCCACAACCUGGCCAGCCUGCUCUUUCUCCCCCUCCACUCUGACCCCUUCCUCCUCAGGGCCCUGACAUGCAGCUAUCUGGCACCCAGUUUCAAUACCUUUUUCUUUCUUUUUUUUUUUUUGAGACAGAGUUUCACUCUGGUUGCCCAGGCUGGAGUGCAAUGGCUCGAUUUCGGCUCACCGCAACCUCCGCCUCCUGGGUCCAAGUGAUUCUCCUGCCUCAGCCUCUGAGUAGCUGGGAUUACAGACAUGCGCCACUACGCCCAGCUAGUUUUGUAUUUUUUGUAGAGACACGGUUUCACCAUGUUGGUCAGGCUGGUCUUGAACUCCUGACCUCUGGUGAUCCACCCACCUCGGCCUCCCAAAGUGCUGAGAUUACAGGUAUGAGCCACCGAGCCGGGACUUCUUUUCUUUUCUUUUUCUUUUUUCCAGCCCUCAACUAUCCGUUUCAUUAAAAAAUUCAGAAUUCUCUCCCCUGCCUGCCAGGAUGGGACCCAAAACUCGGGCAAUAGGCCUGCCCGAGUUGUGGCCCUGGGCCUGUCCCCGACAAGUCACCCUACGUUUUCCAUUCCACCAUCCUCUCUCUGCACCUCAAGCACCGUGAACCCUCUCCCACCUGCCUGACCUCGCCGUCUCCAAAGGAGAACCUUUCUUGUGUCAUCCCGCCCUCUCUAGGCCCGCCGUCUGCCUGGGGGCUGCCCUGGUGGCUGUGCUGUGUCUCCCACUGCUGUGCGCACGGUGCUGCCUGCUCUUUGCCUCAGAGGCACUGGAGCCCAUGUGCUCGGGGGGGUGUGGCCUUCGAACACUGUGAGUCCCCACAUCUUGCCUCCAGAGGCCACAGCUGGCCUGGGCCAAGCCUGGGCCACUUCCUCUGCAGUGACCAAGAGCAGGGCUGCCUCGAGGGUUUCGGGGCAGGAGAGAGGGAACAAAUCUCCUGGAGGCAGAUGGGGGCCACAGGGAGGCUGGAGGCCUGGAACCCCUCCCAGAGAGCCAGUGGAGGGAUGCUGCCUGGCAGAUGGGAGAUGGCAGGCGGGUGCUCCAGGGGCUCCUCCCUCCUUGUAGCACCUUGGACAUGUUUUGUUUUAUUAUGGUGAAAAUAUGUAACAAAACUAGCCAUUAUAGCCAUUGAGCCACUGAGCCACGGAGCCACGGAGCCACGGAGCCAUGGAGCACACACAUCAGUGGCACUCAGUCCAUUCUCACUGCUGCGCAGCCAUCGCCACCAUCCACCUCAGACCUCCUCCCUCUUCCCAAACUGAAGCUCCCUGAAGGUGCCCAGCCUCCUUGCCAGUAGAUGAGAUGGGGAGGCAGCCCUGCUCGACCAAGGAGGCAGAAGUCUUGAUUGUUCUCCCUACAGUCCCACGGGAAGCACCUGCAGCAGGGCCCUGGCUGGACAGACGGCCACAAGGGGUGUGGUGCAGUGAUCGGGUGCCCUGGCCUGGGCAGGAGAGUGGCGCCCUUGGCCUGCCCAGCCCCUGCCCUGCGGCCCGCCUGACAGCCGAGGGGAGCUUCACCUUCCAGCCUCUGGCUGUCAUUAGCUGCUCCCGGUGGGAGGUGGGACCGGCAGGGGAAGCUCAGUCCCACAGCCAGUGAGGAUCCAGGCUCAAGCGGAACCACCUGGACCUCAUUAUUCUUAAGUGGUCCAGUCUGAAAGUUUGGGAAGAGGGGAGGAAAAAACUGCCAAUCCCCACGCCUGGGGAGCCCCACCCCCUCUUCAAGCCAGCACUGAAGCCCUGGGGGUUUCAGCCACAAUGGAGAGCUAAACCGGGCCCACCCCAGGGCCCAGGAGGGGCAUCUGUAGAGGGUUCAGCCCCAGGAGGACUUGGAGGUCAGGCAAGCCAACGGGAGUUCAGAGCUUAGGAGGGGUGAGAGGUCAGACUCUGGUCCUUUCUCAUCACCUGGGGUCCGUCUGUCCUUCCAGGUCACCUGGGGUGUCUACAGUCAAGGCCAGUCUGACAGGUGGGAUGGUGCUUCCCAGCAACCCCACCCUGAGGAGAACCCUGCUGCCUCUCCCUGCUCUCCACCCCCAGCACAGGCCCCGGGAAGCCUCCAGCUGAUGACGACACCAGGACGGUGCUGAGUGGACCCUGGGGCCAGCAUCACAAGGCACCCAGGACCCCAGACCACCCAGCCACACCCCAGGCUACGAGGAGGGGGCGCUCCGGCGAGGCUGGGGUGCCUUCAAGGUGCAUCCUAGCAACAUCCUCCACCUGCAGGAGGGACACUCGGUCACAGCUUGGGGAGGAUGUGCUCAGACGGCAUAGGAAGGAUUUGCUCAGACCCCAUGGGGAGGAUUUGCUCAGACCCCGUGGGGAGGACUUGCUCAGACCCCAUGGGGAGGACUUGCUCAGAACCCAUGGGGAGGACAUGCUCAGACCCCGUGGGGAGGACAUAGACCCCGUGGGGAGGACUUGCUCAGACCCCGUGGGGAGGACAUGCUCAGACCCCAUGGGGAGGACUUGCUCAGACCCCGUGGAGAGGACAUGCUCAGACCCCGUGGGGAGGACAUGAUCAGACCCCGUGGGGAGGACUUGCUCAGACCCCGUGGGGAGGACAUGCUCAGACCCCGUGGGGAGGACUUGCUCAGACCCCGUGGGGAGGACUUGCUCAGACCCUGUGGGGAGGACAUGCUCAGAACCCAUGGGGAGGACUUGCUCAGACGGCAUAGGAAGGAUUUGCUCAGACCCCAUGGGGAGGAUUUGCUCAGACCCCGUGGGGAGGAUUUGCUCAGACCCCGUGGGGAGGACAUGCUCAGACCCCGUGGGGAGGAUUUGCUCAGGCCCCAUGGGGAGGACUUGCUCAGACCCCGUGGGGAGGAUUUGCUCAGACCCCGUGGGGAGGACAUGCUCAGACCCCGUGGGGAGGAUUUGCUCAGACCCCGUGGGGAGGACUUGCUCAGACCCCGUGGGGAGGAUUUGCUCAGACCCCAGGCAGGCAUCAUGAAUGCGCCCAGCCCGGACCCCAGACUGGUAGCUCCUACCACACGCGGAGCAGCAGAGGCUGGCAAGAGGGACUCAGGACUUGGGCUGGGGACAGAGGGCCCUGCACAGCUCUGGGGUCCUGACCCAAUCCUGCAUUUCCAUAGAGAGCUGCCUGGGCACCCAUGCUGAGGGUCCCUGCACCCCCUGGUGUAUCGGAGACCCUUCCCCCACCCCCUAUCCCCCGCCACUGAGACACAGGAAUGUACAGGAUGGCUGUGAGGGCAGAGGCAGGCCCAGGGCGCAGCAGGCAGGGCUGGGCGGGGCUGGGGAUCUGCAGGAGGUUGGCCCUGGAGAUGGGACAUGUCUGGACCCUCGGUGUCAUCACCUCUAUGUUUUGACCACUGAGCAAAAUUACACUAAAUGAAGCACAAAUUAGCCAAGGGGACAGUCGACUCUGUCCUUUCUUCUUAAUCCCUCUGGCUCAGGGUUUCCCAGCCUGGACAGCCUGUCCGAGGGGAAGGCUGCCCAAGGGCACACGGGCAUCGGUCCGGGGACAUUCAGGCAGUGACCAAUCCCUGGCCACCCUGGUGUGUGCCCGGCAAUGUGGGCCUUUUCCCAGACAGCCAGUGGGGGAGCGGCUGCUGUGGGUCCCUGAGUCUUAGCCAGAUGGUCAAGGAUAGGACAAUGAUGGAGACCCGCAUGCGGCCGCAUCCAUGGGUAAAGGAGGCGGAACGGAGGACAGCUCUGCCAUCCCCUCAGCCAGCCAUGAAAAGCAACCCUUUCCCCUAAGGCCCCAGCACCACCUUGGAGGCCACCAUGGGCUGGAGCCCAGCACAGCCACCAUCGCAUCUUGGCUGUCCAGCUCAGGACGGCCAGUUCCAAGGCGUCCAGGCUGGAGCUCUGGGGGCGGAAGAGCACAAGCUCCUGAAGAGCCUCUGGUCCAGCCCUGGCAGCGGAGGGCCAGGUGAGAGCCUGUUGAGGGCUCUGAGGACUCCAGGAGGGACUGGCUGAGGACACCGGUGGGGGUAAUACCUCCCCCUCCAAUGGCCGCUCGCAGGAGGCAAUUCCCAGAGCCCCGCUCCAUGGGCCACCAGGUACCCAGAGCCUCAUUUAGAAAUGGCCAUGCCUCCCCACAGGCCCCCGCUGGGAUCCUGGUGCUUCAAAUGUCCUGCUGUGGUCCCAGGGAGGAGCAAAACCCCCUCCCAGUCAGGAAGCAUCCUCAACCGCAUCUAAUUCCAGAUGCUACCUCCCACCUUGGCUUUCCAGGAGACGGAGAACGGAGCCGGCCCCUCUCCAAGGCCCCGAGGCCCGGCAGGGCACCCCUCGGAGCAGAUAAGCUCACCCCUGCUCCCAGGACAAGCAAGCUCCUGCUGAGGCUCUGCUACUGCUAAUUGGCCCUUGGGAUAAGCAGACCUGUCCAGGAAAGAACCCUCUCCCUGAUCUCCUGGCCCCAGCCCCAUCCGGCCGGGAGUUCUGACUUAAGCAAAUAAUCAGUCCAGGGAAUUGGAGGCUCAACAGAAUCGUCCUCCAGGAAUCUGGUCUUCGUUCCUCCACCCUCCUCCUCCCGUCUCCGCCCGGGGUCUUGAGAUCAACAGCAAGGUUUUGCACUCGUAGGGGCUUCCCGGAGACACCCUCCAGCCUCAACCCAGAGGAGAUGGGUGCCUGGGCCGUGACCCCUCACACAAGAGGACCAAGCCCAGAGAGGAGACGGGAAGCCAUGCGCCCGGCCAGCUGGGGUCUGCGAUGGACUCAGUGGGGUCCAGCCCUCCUCACUCCAAGGGGAGCUGGGAGCCGACCCGGUGAGGGAGGGCAUCCUGGGAAAGUGACAGGAAUCAGGGAAUGGCCCUGGGGCUCCGGACCUCCUCUGAUGGAGUCAUUCAAGGCCCUUGGCAGAGCUGGGCAUCCUCUGGGCCCCAGGGAAUAAGGUCCCCUCACUCCACCACAGAACAGCAUCUGGGCACCUACCUGUUGGCCAUGGGCAGAGCAAAACUCUCUCCUGGACCCCAGUGCCCAGAGCCCUGGCCUUGGGAGGGAGCUGUGCAUCCUCAGGAGCCCCCCCGGGCUGCCCCCCACCACCCUGCAGGCAGCUCACCCUCCCACCCCACCAGCUGCAGGUGCGGACACGUGUCUUCUCCUUCCCCAAAUGCUCGUUCUGCACCUGCUUCGGGAGGGCAGUCCUGCCUGCUCACAGCCCAGCCCUGCCCGAACUCCUGGCCAUGUGUGGAAACACACGGGCGUUAGAACAUGGCAUCCCGGUUCCCUUCUAUGUUCAGGAAGACGACACCCAUCUGGCUGAGGGGAUGGCAGAGCCCCUCUCCCCACAGCCCCCUCUGCAGUGCAGCUCUCCUUUCCUCUCCCCGCAUGCCUCUUCCCGAGGGCAGCCCCUUCUCUCCAUCAGGAUCGCAUGCCUCUUCUCGAGGGCGGCCCCUUCUCUCCAUCAGGAUCACCCUUCCUGGGCCUCCGGGGUGCAACGGGCGGGCGCUGUUUCCCCCAAGCCCUCCCUUCCUCCCUCGGGGUGGGGCCCUUUCCUCCAGGCUCUUCUCCGUCUCCUGGUCUCUGCCAUCUCCCAAAACCCAUUCUAUUUCUCCACAUGUCUACCUCGUCCCCCAUCCGUCUCCAUUCUCCUAGUCUCCCGCCUGCCAGCCCGGCCCUGGCACCAGCCACUUGGCAGCCUCCUCCUCCUCCUCCCAGAACCUUCUCUUUCCUUCCUGGUCCCAUCUCAAACUGCAGCAAGCUGGUCGAAAGGUGAGACCAGGCUGGGAGGAGCUGUGGGCCACGGAGAUGGUGGCCGGGGGAGGUAUGGGAGGUGGGAGGGCAGGCGGGCCAGGUGGGGAGCAGGGCAUCUUGCCAUGGGAAGGGCUGGAGGAAACACCGCAUCCAGGGAUGGCCAGAGCUCGCCUGGAGCCCCUGAAGGUCUUGCUUUUAGAGCCGGGUGGGGCUGCUGUGUGGCCAAGCCGGGCGAGUGGCCCCAUCCCCGGGUCCUGGGCUCCUGGCGUCUGCCCUGGAGCCCACCAUGUUGCAGUACUGUGUGGCCGUCCAUUGCUGCUCUCUUCACUGUAUGACCGGGGGUUCCCUCUGUGCCCCUCAAAGCCCCAACUUGCCUGGACUUUGGGUCUGCAGCUGGCGCAUGGGAAUCUUCCCACAUGGCAGCGUAGGGUGACUAUGGAGCCGACCAAGGCUGCCAAGGUCUUACUUGAGUAGAAGACGUCCAUCCUGAGCGAUCCUGUUGGCCGGUCCUCCGGAUCCAGCCUUCCUGGGAAUGCGGCCACCCACAGGACUCCAAGCGGGUCUGGGGUCCCUGGUCCCCCAGGUUGACCACCCCUUGCUGCAGCUGCUCCGGAAACAGAGGGUGCUGCCCUGGCCAUUUUGCUCCUUGCUGGGUGUCUGGGAGGGCUGCGAGGGGAGGAAGAAGGGCAGGGAGAGGUGAGAGACCCGAGAGAAGGGGGAAGGAGUCUCAAAGGAGGGGAGGGACGGCCGGCCAGCACUGUGGCGCAGUGUGCAGGAGGGGAACAUGGCGGUGCCCGGCACGAGGUGGGGUGCGGGGCAGCCCUGGAGCCCUGGCUGCCUCUCCCAGCAGUGGGUCCGGCACUAGCUAGCCAGCUGAGCUUGCUGUGUUUGGAGUCUGCAGAAAGUGCUGCCCCGCCAAGCCCCACAGGCCAAGCCAGGCCCGAGGGACAGGAAGGAGCAUGGGGCCUUCACUCACUGCCCAGCCCGGGGCACGGCCGGCCCAUCUCCCAUUUCCAGGGCAUCCGGGGACGGGCACGCCCCGGAUACUUACUGCCCUGUCACUGGAGGUUAGCAUCCUCCCUCGUCCGGUGCCCUGCCCAGGUGGCUGUUACCUCCCCUACCUCCUCCAAGACCCUGAGCAGGGGGAGAAAGAAAGUGGACAGAGGCACCCGACCUCCUGACCUGAGUGUGGUCCCCGCUUUGUUCCCCCUUCCUCUGCCCCCAGUUCUCACUGCGAAGGAGGAGAGGGCUCACCUGGGGUGGCCCCACGUGCCUGCCAGCCUUGGUCCAAGACUGCAGAGAAGGGUCCCUGAGGAGGUGGGGAGGAACCCAGAGGCAGAUCCUGAGGGUCUUCCCUGAAAGAGGAGGGCUGGUGGGCAGCAGGAAGAUCCGGGAUUGUGCCCUCAGCUGCCCUCUCUGUCCUGACGUGUCACCCGCUAAGGGUCAUGGGCCAAGGAGGGAACGGGCAAUGUCUGGGAGCCAUAGAGUUGGGAUGGCCCGGCCAGGCUGGGUGUGGGGUCUGUUGGGGAUCCCAGGUGAGGGGAAGGAAUUGGGAGUGGACCUGGGCCCGAGGCAGGUUGGGUGGCUGGUGCAAGGCAGAGGGCUGGCCCCGGGGGCAUUCUGUCCUGGUUCCUCUGUCCCCUCACCCAGUUCGUGAGCAUCCCUCGUGGAGCAGGCCCCAGGGAGAUCACGGGCGGCGGGUGGGCAGAUGGAGUGCAAUAUCCCCCAAGGAAAGUGUGUUGUGAGGUGGUGGAGGGCAGGGCCGGAGAGGCCCCAGCUGUGGAGCAGGACGCUGGAGGGCUCAGGGCAGCCGAGCCAGGGCCCGGGGCAGCCGCAAAGUGGCACUGUGUUCUUUUGGGCCGGACCAGAGCCCAGGCAGUGUCAGGAGGUGGAUGGUGUGGAAGAGAGAGGAGUUCCAGGGGCGCACUGGGGGGCCCUCUGUGUGGCUGGAAGGUGGAGGGGCGCUGGGUGGAAGGGCUGGCUUCGGGCUGGCGGCUUGGGCUAAGGCAGGCUUGCAGGGGCUGGCUCCUGAACCCACGCAUGGCGAGAAGUAUGGGCUGGAGCGGCCACAGCAUUGGGGAAAGACAGAUGGGAGGGCUGGACAGGAAGCAGGGCUGUGGCCAGGCCGGGGCCCCGGGAGGACAGGGACGAGUGGUGGACGUGAGGGUGCAGAGGAGCAAAGUCCAGGACUUGGCCCGGAUCGGGAUGCUCAGGAGGCUGGGGAUGCUCGGAGGAAAGCAAUGGGGGAGCCCGGCUGCCUGCCCCACCCCUGCCACCCUCAGCUCCUUCUGCCCGCCAGGACUCCCAGGCUCCAUCAGGUGCCGCAGCACCCUGGCUGCGACAUAACGAGGUGGGACAGGGUCAGCAAGGUGACUUCUCGUGCCCCAGUGUUUGCAAAUCCCCAAAAUGACCCAACAGACAAGCUCGAGGCUGGAUUUUCCAAGAGGGCCCCUUCAAGUACCAAAGGACACAAAGAGCAGGCCCUUCUGAGUCUGCGGCCCACAGAUGGCAACACGGGCCCCGGACCCCAGGACCACCUUGGGCACAGAGCGGCUGGGCCCAGGAGGCUGGCCUCUCCCGGGGAUCCCACGGCUGGCCUGCGGGGCUGCAGCAAACACGUGCAGGGCUUUCCAGAGCCCCGCACAGAACAAAGAACAAAAUGGGGAGAGCAGGGCCUGGGCUGAACGGACCACGGGCGGGUGGGCGGAGGGGCACAGCGGCAUGGCACCCACUGCCAGGCCGAGGGCAGCUGCAGGGGGCUGGGCUGGAGCAGACCCGGGGUGGGGGUGGGGGCUGGAGGAGGCUCUCACGGCCGGAAUCAAUAACUCACACUGGGGGAGGGCGGGAGACGCUUGUGGCGGAGCGGGGAGGGGGUGCCGGACAGGGUGUCCCUCCACCCCCAAGUUCAAAGUUUUAUGGCGAGCAGGCUUGACUUCCUCCCGCGUCCCUCCUCUCCAGGUGUUAUUUGAAAAAAAUACUUUUCAAACUACAUGCUGAAAACUUCAGCAUGAAAAUUUAAUGUCAGAAACUCUGUAAUCUCUUUCCCAGAGAUAAGACCCAGCCCCUCGAGGAGGGGCGAACUCGAUCCCUCUAACACAGAAAGCAGACGCCAGGCCGGGAAGGCAGGGGCCUGGCGGCCUCACUGGGGGAGGCUCAGGCUCACGCUCCCUCCCUCCCUCCCACCCGCGGCUGGGAGGGGGUGACUGAGAGAGGCCCUGCAGGGCUGGAGCUGCAGGGCUGGGGCGAGGGGUCCGGCAGGAGGGGCCGUCCUAGUGCAGCCUGCAGGCUUCGGGCCUUCGGGAAGCACAUCCUGCCGCUCUCCCGCGUGCACCCCGCUCCCCGGAACUUGGAGUGGGUGCCGCUGCUGCCAAGGCUCGGGUUUCCAUGACGGCUGAGGCCCCUGGCCCUCUCACUCAGACCCUAACUUAGGCCUCGCUGAGGGCUCAGGUUGUGGACAGCUAAGCUGGGGAAGGACAACGUGGCCACCACCGCCCACGGCCUUUCUGACCGGCAGCGCCGCCCUGGGUUGGGUGGCGGGGGCGUCCUGCACACACGACUCCUGAGGUCAAGCCUGGGUGUGGGGGUCUUGGACUCUGAGCUGCCAGGCCCGCCGGGUCCUGGCCUCAGGGAGAGGGGAACGGAGCUGCCACACACCCGGCUCUUGACUCGAUUUCUCUGUGGGGGACAGACAUAACUUCUCCAAGCUGUUUCCAACAGCCCCCACCCUGAAGACGGCCUCCACCUCAGACAUCAGACAACGCCCC
This 16322-nucleotide long non-coding RNA is filed under the name Homo sapiens (human). Its description in RNAcentral is "non-protein coding MRPL23-AS1:9". The record is from RNAcentral. Lineage: Eukaryota; Metazoa; Chordata; Mammalia; Primates; Hominidae.